AACGAACGCUGGCGGCAUGCCUAACACAUGCAAGUCGAACGAGACCUUCGGGCCUAGUGGCGCACGGGUGCGUAACGCGUGGGAACCUGCCCUUAGGUUCGCAAUAACUCCCCGAAAGGGGUGCUAGUACCGGAUAAUGUCUUCCGACCAAAGAUUUAUCGCCAUUGGAUGGGCGCGCGUUGGAUUAGCUAGUUGGUAGGGUAAAAGCCUAUCAAGGCGACGAUGCAUAGCUGGUCUGAGAGGAUGAUCAGCCACACUGGGGAUGAGACACGGCCCAGACUCCUACGGAAGGGAGGAGUGGGGAAUACAGGACAAUGGGGGAAAGCCUGAUCCAGCAAUGCCGCGUGAGUGAUGAAGGCCGUAGGGUUGUAAAGCUCUUUUACACGGGAUGAUAAUGACAGUACCGGGAGAAUAAGCACCGGCUAACUCCGUG
RNAcentral lists this ribosomal RNA (433 nucleotides) under uncultured bacterium. RNAcentral describes it as "partial 16S ribosomal RNA". It matches the Rfam family "Bacterial small subunit ribosomal RNA", at positions 29 to 507 of the family's 1533-position model. The record is from RNAcentral.